This 253-nucleotide ribosomal RNA is filed under the name uncultured Bacteroides sp. RNAcentral describes it as "partial 16S ribosomal RNA". It matches the Rfam family "Bacterial small subunit ribosomal RNA", at positions 524 to 776 of the family's 1533-position model. Lineage: Bacteria; Pseudomonadati; Bacteroidota; Bacteroidia; Bacteroidales; Bacteroidaceae. The record is from RNAcentral.
UACGGAGGAUUCGAGCGUUAUCCGGAUUUAUUGGGUUUAAAGGGAGCGUAGGCGGGUUGUUAAGUCAGUUGUGAAAGUUUGCGGCUCAACCGUAAAAUUGCAGUUGAUACUGGCAUCCUUGAGUACAGUAGAGGUAGGCGGAAUUCGUGGUGUAGCGGUGAAAUGCAUAGAUAUCACGCAGAACUCCGAUUGCGAAGGCAGCCUGCCGCAGCGUUACUGACGCUGAAGCUCGAAAGCGCGGGUAUCGAACAGG